Molecule: long non-coding RNA, 634 nt
Organism: Cyprinus carpio (common carp)
Lineage: Eukaryota; Metazoa; Chordata; Actinopteri; Cypriniformes; Cyprinidae
Exons: 3
Source: RefSeq, a predicted model, not a curated record
UGUUUUUUCCUAUGUGUAGUCUUUUAUUUUAAGGUUAGGUUACUUUUUAUAUGAUUAAUCUAGACUUUUUUGUUUAACACUGUAACAAGUAACGUUAACUAUAUUUCAUUCUUUAAAUGAAAUGCUCAGUUUCAUCCUGGAACAAUCAACCUGUCAGAGUUGUGCCUGAUUCUGCAACUGUAGCUCCAUCAGUGUCUCUGAAGAGACCGAAUUUGCUCGCUUCGUUACCUGAAGAAAAUGUUCAAUCACAAGGCCAGCAGUGUUCAGAGGAGGGUCACGUUUCUGAAUUUCGUCCUGAAUCAUCAAGUAGUGGACAAGAGAACCCAGUGCAAGCAUUUUUUAUAUGUGUGCUGCACAGCUUUGAUAUUUAUGUGUACUAUCUAUAUAAAAAGUGUAGUAAUUGAUUGAAUAUUAAUUAUUUAUUUAAACUUGACUUCAGUAUGUUUGGCAUUAUUACAUGAUUAGACUUUAGACUAGUUUUUCAUAUUUCUUCAGGCAGCGGACCACAUCAACAUUAAAACAACAAUUCUAGACAACCGAACACCAAAAGUACCUCAUUUGUAAGAUUGAUUAGACACUUAGUUUAUAUCCUAUAUUUUGAAAUAGCCUCACUUUUUCCAACCAGUCCCUUUUC